UGAUGGUGAUGAGGACAAUUUCCAAGCAUACCUUUAAAUCUCUCCCAAGCUUGGUGGAGAUUUUCUCCAUCUUUCUAUCUGAAACUCAAGAUCUCAUGCCUUACACG
RNAcentral lists this small nucleolar RNA (107 nucleotides) under Capsicum annuum. RNAcentral describes it as "Plant small nucleolar RNA R71". It matches the Rfam family "Plant small nucleolar RNA R71". From Rfam's summary of the family: R71 is a member of the C/D box family of snoRNAs containing the C (UGAUGA) and D (CUGA) box motifs. Lineage: Eukaryota; Viridiplantae; Streptophyta; Magnoliopsida; Solanales; Solanaceae. The record is from Rfam by way of RNAcentral.